AAGUCGUAACAAGGUUUCCGUAGGUGAACCUGCGGAAGGAUCAUUAACACGUGUAUCCACGUUAAUACCUCUUGCGAACUUAUUAACGUUUUGGAGUUGGUGGUCAGCGUAGAGAUGGCGGUAGAUAUUACUAUGUCCGGAGGUGGUCGUCGCCCCGCCCGGUUCUACCGUUCUAGUCAGCACAUUCCUUUUGUUCCCAUUAAACCGAUAUCCUGUCCUGCAUAACGCGGUUGAGGUAUUUGGGGGGACAGGGAAGUGUGUUGGGUAUGCUGGUCCGUAUGACUCGAAUCAUAGUAGGUGUUUCUUACACCCUUUUACCAAUCUGAUGAAUUUUUUGUGAUGGCCCGCCUCGUGCGUGUGUGCUCACGUUAAUAAAACACUAUACAACUCUUAGCAACGGAUAUCUCGGUUCU
Molecule: unclassified non-coding RNA, 413 nt
Filed under: fungal sp.
Lineage: Eukaryota; Fungi
Description: partial internal transcribed spacer region
Rfam family: Eukaryotic small subunit ribosomal RNA (bases 1-46)
Source: RNAcentral